This 301-nucleotide ribosomal RNA is filed under the name uncultured bacterium. RNAcentral's name for it is "partial 16S ribosomal RNA". It matches the Rfam family "Bacterial small subunit ribosomal RNA", at positions 509 to 808 of the family's 1533-position model. The record is from RNAcentral.
CAGCCGCCGCGGUAAUACGGGGGGGGCAAGUGUUAUUCGGAAUGACUGGGCGUAAAGGGCACGUAGGCGGUGAAAAGGGUGGAAAGUGAAAGUCGCCAAAACACUGGCGGGGUGCUUUCUUGACCAUUUCACUUGAGUGAGAUAGGGGAGAGUGGAAUUUCGUGUGGAGGGAUCAAAUCCUAAGAUAUACGAAGGAACGCCAACCGCGAAGGCAGCUCUCUGGGUCCCCACUGACGCUGGGGUGCGAAAGCAUGGGGAGCAAACAGGAUCAGAUACCCCAGUAGUCCCUGUCUCUUAUACA